This 293-nucleotide ribosomal RNA is filed under the name uncultured bacterium. RNAcentral's name for it is "partial 16S ribosomal RNA". It matches the Rfam family "Bacterial small subunit ribosomal RNA", at positions 341 to 639 of the family's 1533-position model. The record is from RNAcentral.
AAGGGAGGCAGCAGUGGGGAAUCUUGCCAAUGGACGAAAGUCUGAUGCAGCAACGCCGCGUGGGGGAUGAAGCUUUCGGAGUGUAAACCCCUUUCGACCCGGAAGAAAGCCCGCAAGGGUUUGACGGUACGGGUAUAAGAAGCCCCGGGUAACUACGUGCCAGCAGCCGCGGUAAAACGUAGGGGGCCAGGCGUUGCCUCGGAAUUACUGGGCGUAAAGGGUCCGUAGGCGGUGUGGCAAGUCGGUCAGUGAAAUCUCUGGGGUAAACCCAGAGGCUGCUGCGAAACUGCCGU